RNAcentral lists this long non-coding RNA (3310 nucleotides) under Amphibalanus amphitrite. RNAcentral's name for it is "uncharacterized LOC122364621". Lineage: Eukaryota; Metazoa; Arthropoda; Thecostraca; Balanomorpha; Balanidae. The record is from RNAcentral.
GUGUGGAAUGGGGAGUGGUGAAUGUGCAGGGGCGAUGAUAGGCGCUGAUGUCGAUUUUUAUUUAUACUUUUAUCCUUAUUAUACAUUCUGAUCAUUUUUUACGUUCAGGAGUUUUCUCUGUUGAUUUAACAUAAAAAACGGUGUGUUUUACUGUUAUUGCCAAGUGCCAUAUUGAUAUUGAAAUUGGGGUACAAUUCAACAUUCACUCAGUUGGGGAAACUACGAGGAGCCAAACAAAAAUUGGAUUAGCCAAUCAGCGGCUGGAGUGGGCGGGGCGAUGACCAUAUAUGGUCAUAAAAUCAGACAACUUCAUCUUUUCAAUGAAUUUUAGCAUUCAAAUGAAAAGAUAAGGCAUAAGAAUGUUUUUUAACCACGCAAGGCCUACACUCACCCGGUGCAUAAUUAACUGGCGGCUCUAAAUCGCAGAGUUACAACGCAAGGUCAAACCGUGAUUGGUCCGUGAUUGGCAAAUGUGGCGGAUUGAAACGGACGCGCCAAAAAAUGUAAGCAGUACCGUGGUUUAAAAAUGUCAUUAUUUUUAUUAUUUUGUUUAUGGUUUUUUAAAUUGUAGUUAAGUUAUUAUUAUAGAAUUAAAUAUUUUUGUUUAUUGUAAUUAAAUUAAAUCUUUGAACAAUUUUCUUUUAUAAAACCAAUCCAUUUAUUGAAUGGCCAGCUGAUUGCGACGCCCAGAACCUGCAGAAAAGCCGUUUUCCUAUCGCCAUUUUCGAGUCAAUUCGCCAAAUUUUAUCAAAUCACACCAAUUGCUAGUGAAAAAUGGAAGCCUUUUCUCUCCAAUAAGUGGACGCGAUACCGCAAGUACCGGCUUGUCAUACCGUUUUUCACACUUAGUAGCGGGGGCUGCAUUUAUGCCCAUAUAUGGUCAUCAAAAGUCCAUUUAUUGACCAAUCCAUUUUUUGACGUUCACCUUGUAGUUUCCCCAACUGCACUGGUUUUCUAUGGCCUGUUGUGCAUCAUAUUAUUGGUAAUGUGAAUAUAGGUACUCCAUACACUGCUACUUUUGGGUACAUAUAAAUGUUUGACCUGAUUUUAGUUCACUUCACCUUAUUUUUUUUUGCAGGAACAGUUAUCACACCAUUAUUGUGCAAAAAAUAAGGGUGGUUUAACGCGGCACUCUGUCAGCCACUUUUGGCUUCCAUAGACAUCAACAAGCCUAUACCUCCAACACUACCAGAGGUUGACGUUAGCUCCACGGAAUGCGCUGGCAGCUGCUGGCAGCGUGCCCAUGAAACACAGCCAGGGGUUUCCUCUGUAAAGUCAUUAUUGUCUAGGUACAUGGGCCUUUAGCAAUUGUUAACAGCUAUAAAAAUUGGAAUUAGAAAUGUUCAGGUAUUAUGAGCAUCAGCUAAACAGGGAAGCAUAUUUGGCUACAGCCCAUCUUGCAACGCCUCAAUGAAAUUUAACGAGAAACUUAAAUUGAGGGAGCAGCUACAUAACUGAGGUAAAGCCCAUAAAUCCUUGUGGAUUUACCUACAUACCUGAGGUAAAUCCACAAGGCACCUUGAGUUCAAACUAUGAAGUGACUCCAAGCGAAAUAUAGCAGAAAUUGUGACUUAAAUGAGCUUAGAAAUAAUCUGCUUAGUUCAUUUGAAAUGUAUUGUUACCCCCUUUCUAACCAUGCAUAUUUUUGUGUCUUGUGAGGUCUCAUAUAGCAAUAAAAAUAGAAAAGUUAUACAAGAGCAGUGACAUGCAUAGUUUGCUUGUGUUGUCACAACUUUGUACAAUAUUUCCAGCUUUAUAAUAUGCAGUUAUCAGUCACAUUGGGCAUCACACAUGUAUUAUUUUUUCCUGCAGGAGGGAAGACACAGGAGGGAACUAGUGACUCAUGUUUUUGCUUCUAUCGCUUCACCCCUGGGGAAUCAGUUCCUACACUCCUUGAAUAUAAUGGUCACCAAGGGGUGCUGUCCUGACACGUUCACUUUCUGUUGAGAAGGUUAGAACAAACACCAUGUGUGUCAUUUAGUUGCAUAUAUAAUGCUUCAAUGUUAAGUCUGCAUAAAGCCUGGAGUCUGUAGCCACUCUUAAUCCUAGGUUGUCGUGACCUUAAUCUAGCCUGGGUGGAUAUUUUGCUGUGCUAAAAGCACGGACUCCGCUACGCCCCAGUGCGGCGGCCGGGGCGCCUCCCCUGGAAGAAGACGGCGCCGGGGAGGGGAUGGACACUGUUACACUUGCGGUUUUUUGUGUGGGGUAGCGUAUACCCUUCUUACAGGUAUUUACUAUGGACAAUGCAUGCGGGUGACCUCCACUGCACGUGACACGUGUAAAACAGAGAGGUGUCAUUUUUGUUGUAAUGACAAUAGCACGGUACAACUUGAUUGUGAUGACAAUAACUACAUUAUAAAAAGGAUGUAGGCACCCACCGGGCAAUGUGUUUAAAUGUGUCACGGUUGGGGUGCAACUGCACGUGCACAUGUGCAGGGUGACGCUUCCAGAUGUCGAGAACGGCCGGGCCGAUUGUGCUCAGAUUUGGCACAUCGCUAGAGACCGGUUAGUAGGGUGCCGUGCGCAAGUGGGAACUGAAAAUGUCUAAAAUAGAGAUGUUGCAGCUUGAAGGAAAUGCAAUCAAACUGUCAAUCAUACAGUGAUACUGUUUUUUUUUUACAGGAGACAAGAUUGAAGUGCAGCCAACACUGCAUGGUGCUUCUCACAAGAGCUGACCCAUUGCUGUUUUUCAACUCUUCUGGAAAAGAUCCCGAAAGAAGAUAACAGCUUGUUUUCUUCACCGCCACCAGUCUACCUGCUCUCUGCACACUCGGCAGAGCGCGGCAGGGCACCCCACGGAGCUGCACUAGUCACAUCCGGGCCCCACGCCGGUCGACGGCCGAUGCGAUGGAGGCACUACUCCGAGCUGGACUGGUGGCCGGCUCGGAGCUGGUGGAUGUCGACCGCGGAGCGGCGAUCUACUCCUUCCACCGGGGCCGGCAGCAGGAGCUCCAGAUGUCCUUGUGCCACCCGUCCGGCCAGGCCUCCAUCCACCUUGUAGAGGCGGAGCGGGAGACGGUGAAGCUCACGGCUCCGUUGGAACAUGGCCGCUGGGAGGCCUGCGGCGCGGACGACGGAUGCGGCAGUUGGUCAAGACACGGCAGCGUACUCGAGGUGCUUCUCGCCUGGAGGACGCAGGCGAAUCGCGUUAUCCGAGCUGUGCCUCGUCAUGGUGCGAUGAGCCUUAAUAGACUAAUGCAUAUUCUUCCUUUGGCUGUAAUUCAUUUGCUGCUGCCCGCUGGGCUAAGGAGUAACUCUGGGCGCCUACUUUGGGCAGACGCUCGUCCAGUGCCGCUCUUCGUUUGCCGCA